AGAGUUUGAUCCUGGCUCAGAAUCAACGCUGGCGGCGUGCCUAACACAUGCAAGUCGCAUGAGAAAGGGGAGCAAUCCCUGAGUACAGUGGCGCACGGGUGAGUAACACGUGACUAACCUACCCUCGAGUGGGGAAUAACCUAGGGAAACCUGGGCUAAUACCGCAUAACACUUACGAGUCAAAGCAGCAAUGCGCUUGGGAGGGGUCGCGGCCGAUUAGCUAGUUGGCGGGGUAAUGGCCACCAAGGCAAUGACCGGUAUCCGGCCUGAGAGGGCGCACGGACACACUGGAACUGAAACACGGUCCAGACUCCUACGGGAGGCGAC
This 327-nucleotide ribosomal RNA is filed under the name uncultured prokaryote. RNAcentral describes it as "bacterial SSU rRNA". It matches the Rfam family "Bacterial small subunit ribosomal RNA", at positions 8 to 352 of the family's 1533-position model. The record is from RNAcentral.